This 65-nucleotide transfer RNA is filed under the name human gut metagenome. It matches the Rfam family "tRNA", at positions 5 to 66 of the family's 71-position model. Rfam says of the family: Transfer RNA (tRNA) molecules are approximately 80 nucleotides in length. Their secondary structure includes four short double-helical elements and three loops (D, anti-codon, and T loops). Further hydrogen bonds mediate the characteristic L-shaped molecular structure. tRNAs have two regions of fundamental functional importance: the anti-codon, which is responsible for specific mRNA codon recognition, and the 3' end, to which the tRNAs corresponding amino acid is attached (by aminoacyl-tRNA synthetases). tRNAs cope with the degeneracy of the genetic code in two manners: having more than one tRNA (with a specific anti-codon) for a particular amino acid; and 'wobble' base-pairing, i.e. permitting non-standard base-pairing at the 3rd anti-codon position. The record is from RNAcentral.
CCAUAGUUCAAUUGGAUAGAGCGUCUGGCUUCGAACCAGAAUGUUGCGAGUUCGAAUCUUGCUGG